GGUUUAUUUUCAUAUCUUUAAAAAUUUUAUCUGCAAAUGAUUACCAAGAAUAAAUUCCUGCAGAAUGUAAAUUUAUGUUUGUCUGUAAAGAUUCUUUAAUCAGGGGAUUAAUAUCAUUACAGUUUAUUCUAUAAAAAUACAUGAGUGUUUGAGUUUUUGUAUAAGAGUCCAAAGCAAAUCUACCUAAUUCUGAUCUAGCACCUAGUGGCCGUCUUUUUCAAUCCUAAUACUGCUUUACAAAAUUUAGAAUGAACCUUCUCAAAAGGAUAUUUUUCUGCUAAUGCAAGAGUGUCAAAAAAAGUAUUAUUUACAGCAGCUCUAUUUGAUGCCCUAAAAGUUGACUGAAAAUUAUCCAUAAACCAAAUUUCAGAGUUGUAUGUCAAAAUAGGUCUUAUGAGAGUAUCAAAUAAUUUACGUGACAA
Molecule: long non-coding RNA, 422 nt
Filed under: Mytilus galloprovincialis (Mediterranean mussel)
Lineage: Eukaryota; Metazoa; Mollusca; Bivalvia; Mytilida; Mytilidae
Source: RNAcentral